Long non-coding RNA from Coregonus clupeaformis (lake whitefish), 1438 nucleotides. RefSeq lists it as uncharacterized. The record is from RefSeq and is a predicted model, not a curated record. Lineage: Eukaryota; Metazoa; Chordata; Actinopteri; Salmoniformes; Salmonidae. The transcript is spliced from 2 exons.
AUUGCCACAUUGCUGUCUGAUAUCAAGAGGAGUGUAAAUUAAACCUCGACUGUUUUAAAAGCGUUUUAAAGAAAACUUUAGGAAUAUCUAAAGCCUGUGUCGUCAUUGGCAAAGAAAGUCUGUCUUCCACGCCGACCUUGCGUCGGGAGUUGGAUUACUCUGUUGAAGUUGAAGUUUAAAAUCGGCAGGAAUAUUGUGACGCUGCGGUUGUGCAACCGAAGACCACGUCCAUUUCAUUGGAAGAGCUAUGAUUACAGACGUGUUGAAGUUGUUUUUUAUCGGGACAGCGUUCACUGUCCUCGCUGCGCUGAUGGGAAUGGUGGAUUCAUUUGGUGGUCUCAUGUAUGUCCAAGACGCGGAUCCUGCAGACUAUUUACAGUUGGACAGCAGUACUGACAGAAGGAUGUCUUCAAACCAUUCGAGAGGUUCCGGGAGUAACAAACGCAUUGGAUCAUGAUGAGGACGUCAUGUGGAGGAGAAUUAAAUAGAUUUCUUGACUAUUUUGGGAAGGGAGUGGGCACGAACAGGCUUGACUUGUCAUGUUUUUGUUUGUCAAUUACUGCUUGCACUGUAUAAUGUGUACACUGAUUUUUACAAUAACAUUCUUGAGUCUUAAAACAUGAUUCGCUUUCAGUUUAACUAGUUGGUGUCCCACUCCCACUGGGCAAAAACUGGUUGAAUCAACGCUGUUACCACGUCAUUUCAACCCCCCAAAAAAUCAAUGUGAUGACGUUGAAUGACCGUGGAAAACUGAUUGGAUUUGCAAAAAGUCAGCAACAUAAGAGCAUUUUGUAUUUUGUUCCCCCAACUUUUAACCGAAAUCCAAUGACAUGGUGACAUUUUUUUGUUGAAUUGUGUAAUUCAAAACUAGACGUUGAACUGUGCGCAGUGUGGUUUGAUUUAUACACGUCACUACGGAUUUGAUGAGUUGUUUAACUUGUUUUGCACGUUUGAAGAACACCCUAGUUUAUGUUUAUAGUAGGCUAUUACUAAAGUACUAGGUCAUAUUGACAGCUAUUACUAUGUAGCGCUAUCAACUCUAUACUAUACUAUACUAUACUAUACUAGACUAAUACUUGGUAAGGCAGCAGGUAGAGCGUUGGGGCAGUAACAGAAAGAUCGCUGGUUGGAAUCCCCUUGCCGACUAAGGGAAAAAAACUGUGUGCCCUUGAGCAAGUUACUUAAUUUAGCAAACGCUAAGUCACUCUGGAUAGCAGCGUCUGCUAAAUGACUAAAAUGUACUUAUCUGUAUACAUGGUUUUGCCUAUAUCAUGUAGGCUAUUUGUUGUAUAUUGAAGAUCACAUACAGGGUAAAAAAAAAAGAAAAGAAGAAAGCUACAUUAUGCACACAUUGGCUGUAUAUCAUGCACUGCAAUAUUGUGUUAUAAAAAAAUAAACACUUUUUAUAGGCUAUUGUGAAUUAAAUGAAUUGACACUA